GACGAACGCUGGCGGCGUGCCUAAUACAUGCAAGUUGAGCGCUGAAGGUUGGUACUUGUACCAACUGGAUGAGCAGCGAACGGGUGAGUAACGCGUGGGGAAUCUGCCUUUGAGCGGGGGACAACAUUUGGAAACGAAUGCUAAUACCGCAUAGAAACUUUAAACACAAGUUUUAAGUUUGAAAGAUGCAAUUGCAUCACUCAAAGAUGAUCCCGCGUUGUAUUAGCUAGUUUGUGAGGUAAAGGCUCACCAAGGCGAUGAUACAUAGCCGACCUGAGAGGGUGAUCGGCCACAUUGGGACUGAGACACGGCCCAAACUCCUACGGGAGGCAGCAGUAGGGAAUCUUCGGCAAUGGACGAAAGUCUGACCGAGCAACGCCGCGUGAGUGAAGAAGGUUUUCGGAUCGUAAAACUCUGUUGGUAGAGAAGAACGUUGGUGAGAGUGGAAAGCUCAUCAAGUGACGGUAACUACCCAGAAAGGGACGGCUAACUACGUG
RNAcentral lists this ribosomal RNA (497 nucleotides) under uncultured bacterium. RNAcentral describes it as "partial 16S ribosomal RNA". It matches the Rfam family "Bacterial small subunit ribosomal RNA", at positions 28 to 507 of the family's 1533-position model. The record is from RNAcentral.